Molecule: ribosomal RNA, 301 nt
Filed under: uncultured bacterium
Lineage: Bacteria
Description: partial 16S ribosomal RNA
Rfam family: Bacterial small subunit ribosomal RNA
Source: RNAcentral
CAGUAGCCGCGGUAAAACGUAGGGUGCGAGCGUUAAUCGGAAUUACUGGGCGUAAAGCGUGCGCAGGCGGUUUUGUAAGACAGGCGUGAAAUCCCCGGGCUCAACCUGGGAAUGGCGCUUGUGACUGCAAAGCUAGAGUGCGGCAGAGGGGGAUGGAAUUCCGCGUGUAGCAGUGAAAUGCGUAGAUAUGCGGAGGAACACCGAUGGCGAAGGCAGCCCCCUGGGCCAAUACUGACGCUCAUGCACGAAAGCGUGGGAAGCAAACAGGAUUAGAUACCCGCGUAGUCCCUGUCUCUUAUAC